This 113-nucleotide ribosomal RNA is filed under the name Sinocyclocheilus anshuiensis. The record is from RNAcentral. Lineage: Eukaryota; Metazoa; Chordata; Actinopteri; Cypriniformes; Cyprinidae.
UUUGGGCUAAAUCGGUUUGAAAGUCCCAAGACUGGCUACCCACUGAAGCUAAGCAGGGCUGAGCCUGGUCAGUACCUGGAUGGGAGACCUCCUAAACUAGGUUGCUGCUGGAA